This is a long non-coding RNA of Macaca fascicularis (crab-eating macaque), 2985 nucleotides long. Lineage: Eukaryota; Metazoa; Chordata; Mammalia; Primates; Cercopithecidae. The record is from Ensembl.
UAGCCAACUUGUUUUUUUAAUUAGAGUAUAUUAUACUUUCAAACUGGAUACACUAGAAAUUGGCAAUGCAACAUAAGAUGCAAAGGAAUAUACCAGUUACUGUCAAAAUGACCCUGUACAGCCUUGUAAUGCAAAAAGCUUUAUACAAUACAAAUUUUCAGUAAUGUACACAAACCUUGACAGUAUGAUCAUCUGAACAUAAUAUGAAGAGUUAAAAAAAGGAUAGAAGAAAGAAAGUGCUGAGAACCCUAACUGCAUUACUAUAUGGAAAAAUAAGCUAGUUUUCAUUGAAGAAUGCAUAGUGACAACAAUUGAAGUUAGUUGGUAGGUGAAUUUCUCAAAGAUGUUAGUGUUUUACACGGAAAGGAUAUCUAUGGAAUACAUCCUUCCCUGAGUAUCAAACUGCAAACCAAAUUCAGGGGUACAUAUUUUCUAGGGUGGAGUCUGAAAAAUGCUGUAGAUUUUUUUUCUUUAUUAAUAACAAUAAUAAUAUAAAAAGUCAAACAAACUCCAAACACACCUUUUCUCACUCAGAAAACUUUUAUAAUUUACCAGAAAGAUUGAUGACUCUUUCCAAAGUGCUAAAAAAGUUGCCCAAUUAUAUUAAGCAUGACUAAGUCAUUCAAAUACAAGUUCAGUGGCAAGCAGUGAAAUGCAUGGCAUUUGAGCAGUAAACAUCUCCUUCUUUCACCCCCUCUUGUUCUUGAAAGUUUCAAUCCUAAGACCUCCUAUUGCACAAGUGGCAUGCUGUAAAACCUAUAGUCCGAAUUGUCAGGGCCACCCUUUCAGGGUUUUAACCCGCUGGUGCUUGAGUGUGAUUCACCGUUUCUACCAGCCUCUGUGGGAUCAGUUUAGCCCUCUUUCCUGUCAUCACUGAACUUGUAAUUUUGAAAACACAUUAUUAGCCAAGUGGCACAUUCUCCAUUAUAUGGGGAUAAAGACAUGACUCGAAAACAAAACAACCCAACCCACCCAUAAGCCCAGUAUUCUUGGAGUGUAUUGUCCAUAACUAUCUAUAGUGUCUUUUAUUGAGACAUUGAUGUGGCGAGGUUGAACAUCGUUUCAAACCCGGCCGAGAGCAAAGGUCUCUGCUGGAGAAUGACUGAGGGUUUGGGAGCUUCCCGCCCUAGCUGGUUUGGCCUCCCUGUCCCUGUGGGCAUCUCCUUAGUGUAAACAGAUUUGCCAGGGCACCCAGCAGGCUCCCCAUCCAUGGCGGGAUGACUGGCAAAGGGAGGUGUAGCAUACCUGCUGGGUGUGGGGGAGAGGGGCUGGCAUGGAGGGGACUGAGGAGACCAUGGUGUGGACAGACAGUACAGUCUUCGGGCUUCCUGGAGAACUGUACUAAUUCCCAGGGAGCUUUCAGCAAAGCAAACUGACUAGAGGAAGAACAUUAGGGAUGCUUUUAUUUUGCCCCUGGUGAAACAGAUUUUUAAAAACCCCAACUCUUAGGAUAACACAUGAUGGAAAACAGCGACUCAGUAAGAGAGUGUUCCUCCUGCACACCAGUUCUCCAGUAGAUAAAUUAAAUACAUAAACUUUUAUAUUCCAAACUUCCCAUUAUUACACAAAGAACAUUGCUUCCUGCUCUUUCAGCCUGUUUCAUACUGGAAAUUCUGUUGUUUUAAAAAUACAAGCAAUGAACACAUUCAGCCAAAGAUUUUUUCCUUUUUUCUUUUUAAAUCACCCAUUACUUUUUAAGAUUAGCAAAGGGCUUUACAACCAACCCACACCUGCUUCCUGCUGCAAUAAAGUGCUGCACAUAAAUUGCCAUUUUAAUGACCACAAAAUAAGAGCUUUUAAAUAAGUAUAAAGUUAGCCUCCUAGCAGGUUACAUCUACCAGGCGUUAACAAAAUGGAAUACAGAAUUACUAAUAACAUGGAGGAUACCGCGAUAUAGCCAGAAGACCGGCAAAACGCAAUGGAAACUUGUCAGGGGCAUAAACUGAACCAUAGGACUAAACAGCACCUUUUUGUUGCGUCAUUAUAUGUCAAAGAGGUUGUGGCUAAAUCUUCAAAUAUACAGUCUACUCAUUCCAUAAAAAAGGUACAUUUUCUUCCUUUUUACUUUUUUCAGAUGAGAAACAAAAACUAGUGCAAGACCACAGCACUGUGCAAAACUGCCGUUUCUUUUUUUUAGUCUGAGCAUUUAUACCCAGAAUUUAUCCAAACCCCUUUUAAUCUCCUUGGCUGGAUUUAUCAACCAUAAAUUUUUUUCACUCAUACAUUUCUUUUUCCUGCAAACAAAUGGUAACCACUGAAUUAAUACAUCAUAUAUAUAUAUAUAAUCUGCCCUUACAAAAUGAUGCACUGUGUGUGUGCACCGUACACAUUUGUCUAUGUGUGGGCACACACACAAAACACACUUAAGUUCUGUGAUGUCUGCUGCAGUGCUGCGAGAUAUUUCUUCCAGAUCAGUCACUUGAUUCCUCGCCUCUUCAUCGCCAGAGAAGAUCUGAGUACAAGGUCUCCAGCGCUCUGGUGGAAAUCUCCAGCAGCACUGUAGAUGUCUACCAUUCCUUCAUCGACUAAGCACCAGGCCCUACCACUCUGUAGCCGUCAAAGAGAGAGGGAAAGGUGAUGAAGGAGCGCAGGGAGAGACUGUCGUGGAUGAACAACCCAGGAGGGAAAAGAACGUUCAUCGCUGUUAAAGAAGCCAGUACAAAGAAUGUGCAAUAGAAAUGUCAUGGCACACGACACACGGCUUUCUCUUUCAGAAUCCACAAACGCCCACACACCACAUUCACCCAACAGAAAACCAAAUGCACCAGUAUAUAAGCUUACAAGUGCUGAUUGCUAUUAAGGACACUCUCUUUAGGGUUUAACAAGACAAGAUUCCUUUCAGAGAAAAGUACGGAGAAGGGCUGAGAGUGGGAGUGGGUGGCUGGGGAGGCAUGCCUCUGAAGGUAGAAGUAUGCAGUAGGUCACCUCUCUGAAGAUUGGAUAAAGCAGCUUUCAGGUCAAUGCAAUAGGUAUACACACAGAGCC